Molecule: long non-coding RNA, 264 nt
Organism: Hippocampus comes (tiger tail seahorse)
Lineage: Eukaryota; Metazoa; Chordata; Actinopteri; Syngnathiformes; Syngnathidae
Exons: 3
Source: RefSeq, a predicted model, not a curated record
UUUCGUCUUUUUCUCGGUCACCAGCCGACAAAGACAAAGUGGGCAGGAAGGAUGACGGCAGCCCUUUCAAAGUAAAUGUCCUCGAAACCAAAGGACUGGAGCACGGAGACGGAUUCUACGCCGGAAUGCCUGACAGCUGCGGCGACUCGCACUCUGGGUUCUGUCUUCACGGACGCUGUGAAAUCCACCGCAACAUGCCCGUCUGCAGGUGCGAUUCGGGGUACAAAGGCGUCCGCUGCAACGAGCUUCAGGACUUCAACGUGC